This 232-nucleotide unclassified non-coding RNA is filed under the name Ascomycota sp. RNAcentral describes it as "partial contains small subunit ribosomal RNA, internal transcribed spacer 1, and 5.8S ribosomal RNA". The stretch from base 1 to 47 matches the Rfam family "Eukaryotic small subunit ribosomal RNA", at positions 1785 to 1831 of the family's 1831-position model. Lineage: Eukaryota; Fungi; Ascomycota. The record is from RNAcentral.
AAAGUCGUAACAAGGUUUCCGUAGGUGAACCUGCGGAAGGAUCAUUACUGAGUUCAUGCCCUAACGGGUAGAUCUCCACCCUUGAAUAUAAACUCUUGUUGCUUUGGCGGGCCGCUUAGGCUACUGGCUUCGGCUAGUGAGUGCCCGCCAGAGAACCCCAAACUUUGAAUUACAGUAUUGUCUGAGUACUAUAUAAUAGUUAAAACUUUCAACAACGGAUCUCUUGGUUCUG